Molecule: long non-coding RNA, 1056 nt
Organism: Parasteatoda tepidariorum (common house spider)
Lineage: Eukaryota; Metazoa; Arthropoda; Arachnida; Araneae; Theridiidae
Source: RefSeq, a predicted model, not a curated record
AUGUGGCACUAUUUCCUGCUUCAGUUUAGAAACGACAAUAAGCUUAUUAAAGUUCUUCCUCUAAUAGAGAAAUAACGUGAACCUUUAUUAGACGCAUAGGUCGAACACUAUGAAGUUAUUUUUAAAUUUGCACGCAUUUUGCAUCGUUUUCAUAUUAAUAUGCAGCAUCUUGGAAAUCUAUGGCAAAGGAGGUUCAAGUAUGAGAAGAGGUGCUCUGGUGGUAAGACGUCAGAAACCAAGCAGCAAUAAGAAAAUAGGACCAGAGCCAAGCAAUAACGGCCGAUCUACCAACACCAAGUCAGCCAUCGUCACUAAUCUAUCAACCGGUUCUAAGAGCAAAACCAAAAGGAAGGGUUCAAGAAAAAAUGAUUUUAAGAGUAAGAAACUUACUACCAUCUUACCUCAACAUCUCAAAACUGGCAGUGAGAUGAAAGAACAGGAGAGAUUCGCGAAGAUAUAAGUUGACUUGAAUUUGACACUUUCAGUGGCAUCCAUUUUGAAUCCUCUAAACUUGUUAUAAAUAAAACUUCGAAACAAACUUUUAAAAAAGUUCUUCUAAACUUCUCAGUUGAUUAAAAUUCUAGUAGUUAUAUCUUAUUUUUAAUGAAGUUUUCAAGUAACUUGCAUUAACAAAAAAGUGAAAAACGUAAUGUCAAAUAAUGUGGGAAUAUUUCUUUUAAAUAUAUUAUUUAUUUUAUAUUUGAAAUAUGUAUUCAAUUGUUAAAGAGUUGUUGCAGAUUUUAGUUAUAACUGGUAUCUCCAAAUUAAGGUUGACGGACCGAAACAGCGACAGAUAUAUGGCCCAAAAAAGCAGUGCUGGCUUGUCAUGUAUCCGGUUUCGAUGCAUAUUCAAAUUAUUUCUUUAAAAAUAAUAAUAAUAAUUAAAAAUACACUAUAAUAAAUAAUAUCAACAUUUUAACUCUAAUAAAUUGGAUAAAGUUCUUUUUAAAUGUUUGAUGAGAGAAGUACUCUCAUACCAAAUGAACGUACCGUAGAUACAUCACCCUCCAGCUAAAUUUGAGAAGGUACUACAGCAUUUUGAUAUGAAAAGAUAUG